AUUGAACGCUGGCGGCAUGCCUUACACAUGCAAGUCGAACGGCAGCACGGGUGCUUGCACCUGGUGGCGAGUGGCGAACGGGUGAGUAAUACAUCGGAACAUGUCCUGUAGUGGGGGAUAGCCCGGCGAAAGCCGGAUUAAUACCGCAUACGAUCUACGGAUGAAAGCGGGGGACCUUCGGGCCUCGCGCUAUAGGGUUGGCCGAUGGCUGAUUAGCUAGUUGGUGGGGUAAAGGCCUACCAAGGCGACGAUCAGUAGCUGGUCUGAGAGGACGACCAGCCACACUGGGACUGAGACACGGCCCAGACUCCUACGGGAGGCAGCAGUGGGGAAUUUUGGACAAAGGGCGAAAGCCUGAUCCAGCAAUGCCGCGUGUGUGAAGAAGGCCUUCGGGUUGUAAAGCACUUUUGUCCGGAAAGAAAUCCUUGGCCCUAAUACGGUCGGGGGAUGACGGAACCGGAAGAAUAAGCACCGGCUAACUACGUG
RNAcentral lists this ribosomal RNA (486 nucleotides) under uncultured bacterium. RNAcentral describes it as "partial 16S ribosomal RNA". It matches the Rfam family "Bacterial small subunit ribosomal RNA", at positions 30 to 507 of the family's 1533-position model. The record is from RNAcentral.